UACGGAGGGUGCGAGCGUUGUCCGGAAUCAUUGGGCGUAAAGGGCGCGUAGGUGGCGGCUUAAGCGUGCGGUGAAAGCUCGGGGCUCAACCCCGAGUCGGCCGUGCGAACUGGGGGGCUGGAGCACUGUAGAGGCAGGCGGAAGUUCCGGGUGUAGCGGUGGAAUACGUAGAGAUCCGGAAGAACACCGGUGGCGAAGGCGGCCUGCUGGGCAGUUGCUGACACUGAGGCGCGACAGCGUGGGGAGCAAACAGG
This 254-nucleotide ribosomal RNA is filed under the name uncultured bacterium. RNAcentral's name for it is "partial 16S ribosomal RNA". It matches the Rfam family "Bacterial small subunit ribosomal RNA", at positions 524 to 776 of the family's 1533-position model. The record is from RNAcentral.